UAACUUGAGAGUUUGAUCCUGGCUCAGAAUCAACGCUGGCGGCGUGCCUAACACAUGCAAGUCGAACGCGAAAGGGACUUCGGUCCUGAGUAGAGUGGCGAACGGGUGAGUAACGCGUGGGUGACCUACCCUCGAGUGGGGGAUAACGUUCCGAAAGGGACGCUAAUACCGCAUGACAUUCCUGGUUUGAAGACUGGGAAAUCAAAGCCGGGGACCGCAAGGCCUGGCGCUUGAGGAGGGGCCCGCGUCUGAUUAGCUAGUUGGCGGGGUAACGGCCCACCAAGGCGACGAUCAGUAGCCGGCCUGAGAGGGCGGACGGCCACACUGGGACUGAGACACGGCCCAGACUCCUACGGGAGGCAGCAGUGGGGAAUUGUUCGCAAUGGGCGCAAGCCUGACGACGCAACGCCGCGU
RNAcentral lists this ribosomal RNA (414 nucleotides) under Acidobacteriota bacterium. Its description in RNAcentral is "bacterial SSU rRNA". It matches the Rfam family "Bacterial small subunit ribosomal RNA", at positions 1 to 402 of the family's 1533-position model. The record is from RNAcentral. Lineage: Bacteria; Pseudomonadati; Acidobacteriota.